GUGACUCUUGUGGCCUUGUGUGAGAGUUUUUUCCUAAGGACAUCUGUUUCUGAACUGUCAAUACAUACCAGAUGGACUGCAGAGAACCAGAGAGAGUUUUAAAUGUCUUAUUACCAGAACUUAAAGACCUUUAAGCAGAUGCAUGUAAAAAAAUGAUGGUACUUGACAGUCCAGCUGCCACGAUGCUUUCAAAAAACUGGAUUUCUAUUGGAUUCUUCAAGAUUACAAAGUUACAGCCUUAACAAACAGGUAGGCCAUUGAGAGGAAAAGUCAAUUCUUUAGUCUGUGUUUUCUCUGUUCCUAGUAACCUUUCCUUCUUUUCUCCCCUAGAGUUUACUUUUCUGCAAGUUUGAAAUGACUUAAAGUGCAAAGAUAGAAAAAUUAGAAUACUGUAAGAAUUCAUUUGUUUCCA
Long non-coding RNA from Pongo pygmaeus (Bornean orangutan), 412 nucleotides. RefSeq lists it as uncharacterized. The record is from RefSeq and is a predicted model, not a curated record. The transcript has 3 exons. NCBI's taxonomy places the organism in Eukaryota, Metazoa, Chordata, Mammalia, Primates, Hominidae.